Small nuclear RNA from Protopterus annectens (West African lungfish), 103 nucleotides. The record is from RefSeq and is a predicted model, not a curated record. NCBI's taxonomy places the organism in Eukaryota, Metazoa, Chordata, Ceratodontiformes, Protopteridae.
UUGCUUCUGUACCACGUUUACUAAACUUAGAAAAAUGCAGAGAAGUAUAGUAUCUGCUCUGCGCAAGAAUGAUAUGCAAGUUCGUGACGUGUUGCAUAUUUUU